UGGAAGUAAAGUUAAUCGAACAAGGUUUCCGUAGGUGAACCUGCGGAAGGAUCAUUACAGAAUGAAAAGUGCUUAACUGCAUUUUUUCUUACACAUGUGUUUUUCUUUUUUUGAAAACUUUGCUUUGGUAGGCCUUCUAUAUGGGGCCUGCCAGAGAUUAAACUCAACCAAAUUUUAUUUAAUGUCAACCGAUUAUUUAAUAGUCAAAACUUUCAACAACGGAUCUCUUGGUUCUCGCAUCGAUGAAGAACGCAGCGAAAUGCGAUAAGUAAUAUGAAUUGCAGAUAUUCGUGAAUCAUCGAAUCUUUGAACGCACAUUGCGCCCUUUGGUAUUCCAAAGGGCAUGCCUGUUUGAGCGUCAUUUCUCCCUCAAACCCUCGGGUUUGGUGUUGAGCGAUACGCUGGGUUUGCUUGAAAGAAAGGCGGAGUAUAAACUAAUGGAUAGGUUUUUUCCACUCAUUGGUACAAACUCCAAAACUUCUUCCAAAUUCGACCUCAAAUCAGGUAGGACUACCCGCUGAACUUAAGCAUAUCUA
Molecule: ribosomal RNA, 536 nt
Filed under: Lodderomyces parapsilosis
Lineage: Eukaryota; Fungi; Ascomycota; Pichiomycetes; Serinales; Debaryomycetaceae
Description: eukaryotic LSU rRNA
Rfam family: 5.8S ribosomal RNA (bases 208-361)
Source: RNAcentral